CCAGUAGUCAUAUGCUUGUCUCAAAGAUUAAGCCAUGCAUGUCUAAGUCCAAGCUGUGUUCACACGGCGAGACCGCGGACGGCUCAUUAAAUCAGUCGUGGUCCAAAUGGGCCAGUGCAAAUCCUACUUGGAUAACUGUGGUAAUUCCAGAGCUAAUACAUGCAACUGAUAUCCCGAAGGCGGUGUUGGGGCUUGCUUGCCUUGCGCUGCGCUGCUCUGACGGAUGCUUUUAUUAGACCAAGCCGCUGAGGACUUGAGGGUUCGCGCUCUCUUGUUUGACUCGUGUGAUGGUGACUCUGGAUAACCAAAUUCUGACAAGCGCACGUACUUCUCUUCUGAGCGAGACGGCGCUGCCACUUUCGAGUGUCUGCCUUAUCAGCUAUCAACCGUUCGUUAUGCGCGACCGAUGGCUUUGACGGGUAACGGGGAAUCAGGGUUCGAUUCCGGAGAGGCAGCCUGAGAGACGGCUACCACGUCCAAGGACGGCAGCAGGCACGCAAAUUACCCAAUCCCAGCAAAUGGGGGAGGUAGUGACGAAAUCUAACGAUGCGGGCGCCCUUUCUGGGGCCCCGCAAUCGGAAUGGGCACUUUCUAAACAACCUGUUGAGAACCUACUGA
This 618-nucleotide ribosomal RNA is filed under the name Eulimnogammarus verrucosus. Its description in RNAcentral is "SSU rRNA". It matches the Rfam family "Eukaryotic small subunit ribosomal RNA", at positions 17 to 551 of the family's 1831-position model. The record is from RNAcentral. Lineage: Eukaryota; Metazoa; Arthropoda; Malacostraca; Amphipoda; Eulimnogammaridae.